This 498-nucleotide ribosomal RNA is filed under the name uncultured bacterium. RNAcentral's name for it is "partial 16S ribosomal RNA". It matches the Rfam family "Bacterial small subunit ribosomal RNA", at positions 29 to 523 of the family's 1533-position model. The record is from RNAcentral.
AUUGAACGCUGGCGGCAUGCCUUACACAUGCAAGUCGAACGGUAACGCGGGGCAACCUGGCGACGAGUGGCGAACGGGUGAGUAACGCAUCGGAACGUGCCCAGUAGUGGGGGAUAGCCCGGCGAAAGCCGGAUUAAUACCGCAUACGACCUACGGGUGAAAGGGGGGGAUCGCAAGACCUCUCGCUACUGGAGCGGCCGAUGUCAGAUUAGGUAGUUGGUGGGGUAAAGGCCAACCAAGCCUUCGAUCUGUAGCUGGUCGGAGAGGACGACCAGCCACACUGGGACUGAGACACGGCCCAGACUCCUACGGGAGGCAGCAGUGGGGAAUUUUGGACAAUGGGCGCAAGCCUGAUCCAGCCAUGCCGCGUGCGGGAAGUAGGCCUUCGGGUUGUAAACCGCUUUUGUCAGGGAAGAAACGCUCUGGGCUAAUACCCCGGGGUAAUGACGGUACCUGAAGAAUAAGCACCGGCUAACUACGUGCCAGCCGCCGCGGUAA